CCUACGGGCGGCAGCAGUGAGGAAUAUUGGUCAAUGGACGCAAGUCUGAACCAGCCAUGCCGCGUGCAGGAAGACGGCUCUAUGAGUUGUAAACUGCUUUUGUACGAGGGUAAACGCAGAUACGCGUAUCUGUCUGAAAGUAUCGUAUGAAUAAGGAUCGGCUAACUCCGUGCCAGCAGCCGCGGUAAUACGGAGGAUUCAAGCGUUAUCCGGAUUUAUUGGGUUUAAAGGGUGCGUAGGCGGUCGGUUAAGUUAGAGGUGAAAUUCCGAGGCUCAACUUCGGAAUUGCCGUUGAUACUGGUCGUCUUGAGAGUAGUUGAGGUAGGCGGAAUGUAUGGUGUAGCGGUGAAAUGCUUAGAGAUCAUACAGAACACCGAUUGCGAAGGCAGCUUACCAGGCUACUACUGACGUUGAGGCACGAAAGCGUGGGGAGCAAACAGGAUUAGAUACCCGGGUAGUC
RNAcentral lists this ribosomal RNA (460 nucleotides) under uncultured bacterium. Its description in RNAcentral is "partial 16S ribosomal RNA". It matches the Rfam family "Bacterial small subunit ribosomal RNA", at positions 338 to 795 of the family's 1533-position model. The record is from RNAcentral.